AAAAUUAGUAAGGGAAAGGCCGGGGAAGGAGUACGCACAACAACGCCGCGGCAUAAAAUGCAUCAUGAUUUGUGGCAGCCUGAGUUCUGAUGAAUGGUCCAAGGCGGCUGCGGAUCAAAAUUCAAGGAAGCAAUUACUAGACCAAAUGAUCCAGAUAAUCGAGGAGGAAAAUUUUGAUGGAUUGGGCAUUGGUUGGCAGUACAGGUGCCUGCCCAGAUGGUGACUGUUCCAAAGGCAACAGAAAAGACAAGGAAAACUUAGUAACCCUGAUGAAAGAACUUUACAAAAUGACAAAGGAACGAGGGAAGUUGUUACUUUUGUUGCUGCCAAGUCCUGAUGAGAUCUUAGACGCAGGAUACGAUUUAAAGGCAUUGUGGAAUUCUGUCGACUACUUUUACAUCUACACCUUUUUCUACGCCGGACUGUGGAACAAUUAUUUCGACUACCCAACGACUCUGUACAGAAUUGUGCUCGGUUAUCAACAUAUAAAAAUGCAUAUUACUCAUCUUAUGAUCAUUUGAAGGGUGGAACCAUCAAUUCAUUAAAAGGAAAAAUCGGGCUCGCAAAAAUGAGAAAGGUUCUCGGUGGGUUUGCUCCGCAAGCUGUCCUUUACGCUUUGGAACAACCAAAUCCGAAGCCAGCAUUUAGAAAUCCUACUAAGAAAGAUCUAUCGUAUUAUUCAAACAUGUC
Cloeon dipterum is the source of this 690-nucleotide long non-coding RNA. RefSeq lists it as uncharacterized. NCBI's taxonomy places the organism in Eukaryota, Metazoa, Arthropoda, Insecta, Ephemeroptera, Baetidae. The transcript is spliced from 4 exons. The record is from RefSeq and is a predicted model, not a curated record.